UAGGAUUGCUUCUAGGGUUCCGAUCGCAUUAUUGUCGAUGACUGGUCCGAGAGAAGCCGCCGAUUGGGGUGUAUAGAUACCACUAAUUCGGUCACACGGCGGGAUAAAAGCCCGGGAGAA
RNAcentral lists this small RNA (120 nucleotides) under Chamaesiphon minutus PCC 6605. RNAcentral's name for it is "Guanidine-I riboswitch aptamer". It matches the Rfam family "Guanidine-I riboswitch aptamer". From Rfam's summary of the family: This family represents a conserved RNA structure found upstream of the ykkC and yxkD genes in Bacillus subtilis and related genes in other bacteria. The function of this family is unclear although it has been suggested that it may function to switch on efflux pumps and detoxification systems in response to harmful environmental molecules. The record is from Rfam by way of RNAcentral. RNAcentral also lists the same sequence under 1 other name. Lineage: Bacteria; Bacillati; Cyanobacteriota; Cyanophyceae; Gomontiellales; Chamaesiphonaceae.